UACCAGACUCCUACGGGAGGCAGCAGUGGGGAAUAUUGCACAAUGGGGGAAACCCUGAUGCAGCGACGCCGCGUGAGUGAAGAAGUAUUUCGGUAUGUAAAGCUCUCUCAGCAGGGAAGAAAAUGACGGUACCUGAUUAAGAAGCCCCGGCUAACUACGUGCCAGCAGCCGCGGUAAUACGUAGGGGGCAAGCGUUAUCCGGAUUUACUGGGUGUAAAGGGAGCGUAGACGGUUACGCAAGUCUGGAGUGAAAGGCGGGGGCCCAACCCCCGGACUGCUUUGGAAACUGUAUAACUGGAGUGCAGGAGAGGUAAGUGGAAUUCCUAGUGUAGCGGUGAAAUGCGUAGAUAUUAGGAGGAACACCAGUGGCGAAGGCGGCUUACUGGACUGUAACUGACGUUGAGGCUCGAAAGCGUGGGGAGCAAACAGGAUUAGAUACCCCAGUAGC
This 448-nucleotide ribosomal RNA is filed under the name uncultured bacterium. RNAcentral's name for it is "bacterial SSU rRNA". It matches the Rfam family "Bacterial small subunit ribosomal RNA", at positions 329 to 794 of the family's 1533-position model. The record is from RNAcentral.